Molecule: ribosomal RNA, 433 nt
Filed under: uncultured bacterium
Lineage: Bacteria
Description: partial 16S ribosomal RNA
Rfam family: Bacterial small subunit ribosomal RNA
Source: RNAcentral
AACGAACGCUGGCGGCAGGCUUAACACAUGCAAGUCGGACGCACCUUUCGGGGUGAGUGGCAGACGGGUGAGUAACGCGUGGGAAUCUACCCUUCUCUACGGGAUAGCUCCGGGAAACUGGAAUUAAUACCGUAUACGUCCUGAGGGAGAAAGAUUUAUUGGGGAAGGAUGAGCCCGCGUUGGAUUAGCUAGUUGGUGGGGUAAAGGCCUACCAAGGCGACGAUCCAUAGCUGGUCUAAGAGGAUGAUCAGCCACAUUGGGACUGAGACACGGCCCAAACUCCUACGGGAGGCAGCAGUGGGGAAUAUUGGACAAUGGGCGCAAGCCUGAUCCAGCCAUGCCGCGUGAGUGAUGAAGGCCCUAGGGUUGUAAAGCUCUUUCAGUGGGGACGAUAAUGACGGUACCCACAGAAGAAGCCCCGGCUAACUUCGUG